AUACCUUUUUCGGCCUUUUGGCUAAGAUCAAGUGUAGUACUGUUCUUAUCAGUUUAACAUCUGAUAUGUGGGUCAUUGGCCAACCUAGUAUUAAAUUUAUUUUUUUAAGGGAAGGGCCUACUAACUUGCUAUUGGGCCUUUAAGCGUUGCCAAGUGUUGCACUAUUGCACGGAUUGGCCCACCCCCA
Molecule: small nuclear RNA, 187 nt
Organism: Cornus florida
Lineage: Eukaryota; Viridiplantae; Streptophyta; Magnoliopsida; Cornales; Cornaceae
Product: U2 spliceosomal RNA
Exons: 1
Source: RefSeq, a predicted model, not a curated record